This 481-nucleotide ribosomal RNA is filed under the name uncultured bacterium. RNAcentral's name for it is "partial 16S ribosomal RNA". It matches the Rfam family "Bacterial small subunit ribosomal RNA", at positions 28 to 507 of the family's 1533-position model. The record is from RNAcentral.
GACGAACGUUGGCGGCGUGCUUAAUACAUGCCAGUCAACUGAAGCAGUGGUAGCAAUAUCGCUGUGGAGGUGGCGCACGGGUGAGUAACACGUAGGUAAUCUGCCUUCAGGUCUGGCAUAACUCCGGGAAACCGGGGCUAAUAGCAGAUGAUGCAGCGGCUCGACAUCGAGACAGUUGUUAAAGCUAUGGCGCCUGAAGAUGAGCCUGCGUCUGAUUAGCUAGUUGGCGGGGUAACGGCCCACCAAGGCAACGAUCAGUAGCUGGUCUGAGAGGAUGAUCAGCCACACUGGAACUGAGACACGGUCCAGACUCCUACGGGAGGCAGCAGUAAGGAAUAUUGCUCAAUGGGAGAAAUCCUGAAGCAGCAACGCCGCGGGAGGGACGAAGGGCUUUGGCUUGUAAACCUCUGUAGUGAGAGAAAAAAAUCCCAAUCUUUGGGACAUGAUGGUAUCUCAAAAGUAAGCCCCGGCUAACUACGUG